GCAGAGUCUCACACUGUCACCUAGGCUGGAGUUCAGUGGCGUGAUCUCAUCUCACUACAACCUCCACCUCCCAGGUUCAAGCAAUUCUCCUGUCUCGACCUCCUGAGUAGCUGGGAAUAUAGGCAUGCACCACCAUACCCAGCUAAUUUUUGUAUUUUUAGUAGAGACAGGGUUUCAGUAUGUUGCCCAGGCUGGUCUCGAAGUCCUGGCCUCAAGUGAUCUGCCUGCCUCGGCCUCCCAAAGUGCUGGGAUUACAGGAGUGAGCCACUGCACCUGGCCUUAAAGUAGAUUUCAAUAUGGCGUGUGUUUGGGUUCCCUUGUGCAAGGAAGGCUGUGUGUCUCAUAUAUAUAAAGAAAAGGAAAGCUCCAUUUGGUUACUCAUCAUUGUUUUUAGAGAAUAAAGGUUGAUACUUAUACAUUCUUAGAAGUAUUGGGUCCACCUUUGAUUUCCAUUGAAUGGGGUCAUCUGUGUGAUGAGAGGUAUUAUUCUGCCAUCCUGGGAAAACCCGUGGGAAGCAGGGCGUGAUUUCUUGGAUCAUCAAAAGCUCAGGCCUAUAGUCAGAACGAGCUGGCUGCAUGUUGGUUUUUCUGAACGCAACAUAAUAUGCAGAACAGAUCUGUAUAAUGGGCGGUUUGCUUUGUGGACUUUCAAUUUUUCGUGUUUCCACCUAUUCAAAGCGCUUAGGAUAUAUCAGUGCAAAGGAACAUCCUGCUGAAGAUUGUGACGGACACGCUAUUUCACAGUUUAAAGAAAUGGCUCCAAAUGAAUUGCAAUUCGUUUUACUAUGACCCUGGCUAAAUCUAACUGACAGGUGCCGCCAAGCAUUUAACUGGACCAUAAACCAAACUGAGAUCAAAGGAUUCCCCCAGCUUCCCGCACCACCGCCCAGUUUAGAGUAAUUCAGCAGCUCUGGGUACCUGACAGCUGGCCUUAUCCCCUCCCCGCACAUAGUAAAGGACGAGGGAGGGCAAUGUGGUGUAAAUGAGUCAAAAAAGCACCAGCGACUGGCUGUGAGUCACGCAGCGAGGGGAUCGUACCCUUUGUUUCCUGCUUAUAACUCGAACACUGUUACACUCAUCAGGGCUUCUUUUUCAAAAAGAUACAAUGUUCCCCUUUUCACAUUUGUGGUGAAAUGUGAAAAGGAGACGGGCUGAGGUCAAUGGCGAGCUUGUUCCUCAGGACAGUUCACUCCUGAUUUUGGUUGCCCGUUCCUUCUUCGCUUGGAUUGAUGGAGAGCAAACCCACAGGAUUUCAUACUGGUGGGGCAGCAGCCCAGAGUGGCCCUCAAAGAGGGAAACUGGGUUCCAGCCCCGGCAGUACUAUCCCUCAGGGUGUGACUGGGGAGACAGAAGCCACUUGAUAUAUCGGAGGGUUUCAUAUUGGAUUUGCUGAACUGAAGGGGCUGGGGGAGCAGAGAUCAAGGGCACCCAGCCCUGCCUGCUGGAAUCUCAGCCGCAGUGGGGAAUGCUGGAAGCUCUGCAGCCUUAUGCUCGCUUAGUAUUCUGUCUGCAGAGGUGGACUGGGCUGGGGAGGCACCUCAGGUCUCAUGCCUGCCCGACCCCAGAGUAAUGUCCUUGCCACCUCUCUCCCAUCCCAAAUCUCAGGCAGUGCCACCCAUUGGAAGUUUCUGUGCAAACCAGAUGCCUGUGGGGAGUCUGGGCCCUGAGCCCGGCUUCUCCGUGAUUCAGGGGUUCCUGGGGAGAGGUGAUACCAAGUUAAGGAGGGAGUGCAUAGAAACGUCCACGAGGCCCCUGCAGCUACAACAGUGGGGGCUGAAGGGAACACGCUGGAGUUGGAACAAUGUGUGGGGAUUUCUGAACACUGCAUCCCCGGUGCAUCAGGAUGGGGCACUGUGGCUAGGCACAGUGGCUCACGCCUGGAAUCCCAGCACUUUGGGAGGCUAAGGCAGGUGAAUUGCUUGAAUGCAGGAGUUUGAGACCAGCCUCGGCAAUGUUAGGAGAUCCCAUCUCUACAAAAAAAAAUUUUUUUAAUUAGCUGGGCAUGAUGGUGCUCGCCCGUGAGCCCAGUUACUUGGGAGGCUGAGGAGGGAGAAUCUCUUGAGCCCAGUAGGUCCAGACUACAGUGAGCUAUGAUCGUGCUCCUGCACUCCAGUCUGAGUGACAGAGAGAGACUCCAUCUCCUAAAUAAACAAAAAAGAUGGGAACUGGGUACCCAGCACCUCCCCCUGGGAGUUCGGGAGGAGAGACUCGGGCAGACUGCUCAUGUUCCCAAGGGGUUCAGACCUCAUCAGCAGGGGCCUGGAUGGAGGUGGCAGCUAAGGGGAGGGUGCGGCGGAGGGAGGGAGGAAGCUCUUUCCACCAGCUGUGGUUGGUCAUGAAGGAAUGAGGUCUGAGUUUGGGGACAGUGGUUCUCACCUGCGGUGUUGUUGCCCCACUGAUGGUGAUUUGGCAGUGUCUGGACACAGUUUUGGUUGUCACAACCUGUGCGGGAGUGGGGGUGGUUGCUACUGGCAUCUAUUGGUGUAGAGACCAGGGAUCUGCCCAGCAUCCUGCAGUGCGCAGGGCAGUUCCCACAACUGAGAGUCAUGUGGCCCCCCGUGCCGACUGUGCCAAGGCUGGGACUGACCCUGCUCCAGGGCACUGAAGUGGGGGAGGUAUACGCACACAAGGACCUAUGGGCUAGCUGGCAUCAGGCGGCAUGGACAGUUGACCCAAAGAGGAUGCUCUCCCACUCCAUUUUGGUUUUCCUUGGGUGAAUUCUGGAAACAGCACUGUUGCUCUGAUGGUCUCCUUAUUCACCAUGAACUGAGAGCACCAUGGGCGUGCCUGGGAAUGAGCAGAAAGUUAGAUCCUUUUUGGAGGUGCAAGGUGAGAAAGGGGAGAAAUCUGUGUUCUCUAAGAAAUCUCUUUACCUGCUUUGCUUUACAGCUGAGGGCCUUGCCUGCGACACUCUGUGGGAUGUGUGUGGGGGUAGGUAGGUGGAGAGAGACAGAGAGAGAGACGGCGGCGGGGGGGAAGGUGGGGUGGCAGAUACGGGUGGAGAGAGAGAGACUGCCGCUUCUGGGUGGGAACAGAGGGUGCCAGCGUGAAUUGGCACUGUCCUAUUGCUGUGAUGAUGACUUUUUCCUCCCUGCAGCUCCGGAGCACUUGGAAGUGGUUCUGAAGCUCAUUUGCAGCUUUGCAUCUGUUUGCAUGGGCGUCUGCUGCUUGGAGUUGAGGCUUCCUGCCUGCAUUGGCUGUCUGAGGCUGAGCUCCCUACCUACCCGCAGAGUCCCUGCCCCCCACGUCCACUCCCAACAGUGUGAUGGGACAGCUCCUCCCGCAAGUGCUUUGUGGAAGGAGACCUGCAGGAACCCAAAACAGCAGUGCUGCAGCCAGGGCGGUGCCCUCUGCUUUCCUCUGUUUCCUGGGCUCCGGGAGAAUUCUAUCUUGGGUCCGAGAAAAACUCACACAGCAGACUGGCUGGCCCAGGGCUGACUCGGUGUUUCUUUCUCCCUCUAGGAAGGCCUGGCUGGAAUCAGCACAUUUUGUGGAAGUGGGAACCAAUACACGUGUACACUUCUCUUUACAGGGCACGCUAUCAUCACUAACUACUUGUUGAACUAUUUUCCCGGUCUUGACCUUGAAAGGAGAAACGCAUUCGGGUUCACCGCCCUGAUGAAAGCCGCCAUGCAGGGUCGAACGGACUGCAUCCGAGCCCUGAUGCUAGCAGGUAUGUCCACCUGUCCCGUGCAACUUCCGGGGGCCCCGGGACACCAGAGUUGCUCCUUUAAGGAAUAUAUUUUGAGAUUAAUCACUCCCAUAGAAACAACGCCUAGCUGCUGCAAUAAGGAAUAGUUUCUUCACUGAGGUACACUGCUGUAAUUAUCUGAGUUUUUUAAAAAGCCAACAACAAAUGCUUUCAGGAUCACGGGGAGAAGCCAUGCAUUUGUUCCCUUCAGGACGCCCCUUCCUGCUCCCUGCUGAGCUUUGCAGUGGGUGGCAUCUUCCCUCACCUUCUGUUUUCCUCCUGCUCACCCAUUCUACACCCCCAGCCCUGUCCAUAUCUGUUCUUCCUCAGAAAGGGGUGAUCUCUUGGCUGUAAAUGGCAAGACUGUGCUGUUGAAGGUGGGUGUAGGGAUGGUGGGAACGGCCCAGGCCAUCCUAGGUCCCUGCUUGCUGGUGGGUGGCAUUGCAUAGUAAUGUUACGAGGCGAUGUGGAGUUGCAUGGUAAUGUUAGGAGGUGAGGCGGAGUUGCCUGGUAACAUUGGGAGGUGAUGUGGAGUUGCAUGGUAACAUUAGGAGGUGAUGUGGAGUUGCAUGGUAACGUUAGGAGGUGACGUGGAGUUGCAUGGUAACGUUGGGAGGUGACGUGGAGUUGCAUGGUAACGUUGGGAGGUGACGUGGAGUUGCAUGGUUACGUUAGGAGGUGAUGUGGAGUUGCAUGGUAGUGUUAGGAGGUGACGUGGAGUUGCAUGGUGACAUUAGGAGGUGAUGCUGAGUUGCAUAUUAAUGUUGGGAUGUGAUAUGGAGUUGCAUGGUAAUGUUGGAAGGUGACGUGGAGUUGCAUGGUGAUGUUAGGAGGCAACAUGGAGUUGCAUGGUGACGUUAGGAGGUGAUGUGGAGUUGCAUGGUAACGUUAGAAGACGACAUGUUGUGUGGUAACAUUAGGAGGUGACGUGGAGUCACAUGGUGACGUGGAGUCGCGUGGUGGCGUUGGUGGAGUCAGCAGGUGGCGUGGAGUCGGCGUGGUGGCGUUAGCGGUGACGUGAGUCGCGUGGUGGCGUGAGGUGGCGGUGAGUCGGCGUGGUGGCGUUAGGAGGUGGCGAUGGAGUCGGAGCAGGUGACGUGGAGUCGCGUGGUGACGUUAGCAGGUGACGUGGAGUCGCGUGGUGACGUUAGCAGGUGACUGCGGAGUUGCGUGGUAAUGUUAGUAGGCAAUGUGGUAUUGCAUGGUGAUGUAUGUGGCAAUUUCUGUUUUCUUUGAUGUGUCAUAGAGUGGAAAAUUCUCAGGCUAUCAAACUGAAUCAACCUCCCUUUGUCUUUCGCGCCAUCUUGGAGAAAGCACUUUCCUGUUCCAUCUGUGAAAUGGGAGUAAUGACCUUUCUCCCUCACCUCCCUGAGGCUAAAAUAUGACAACACUUUAUAUACUGCUAAAGGCUAUCCGGCUGCAAUGAGCUACUAAGCUAAAUGCUACACAACUAAUAGCUUUAAUUCUGUUCUUCACUCUGAAAUAGAAUCAAUGAUCAUCCUUCGGGCAACCUCUUCGGGUUAUUUUGAGAAUUAAGUGAGAAAAUAUGUGUCAAGCACAUGUGGUGUUAGAUUCAGUGAGCAGCUGAAAUCUCGGUGAAUGUGCGAUGCUGCUUUCACCGUUACUUAAUUCUGUUAUUUUAAUUUCUCUUUAUUUUUGCUCUUGGCACUGGGUUCAGCCAGUCCUGCUUGGCACUGCAAGUUCCUAAAGAAGUGGAUUUCCUCUCUGUUCUUACUUGUUCUGCUGCUGUAACAAAAUACCUCACCUGGGUAAUUUAUAAACUGUAGAAAUGUAUUGCUACACCUGGGGAGGCUGAGAAGCCCAAGAUCAGGGUGCCGGCAGGGCCGAUGUCUGCUGAUGCCCAUUCCUUCUUGCUGUCUCCUCUCAUGGCAGAGCGGACGCCGAGGCACCCUCAAAACCUCUUUCAUAAGGCACUAGUUUGAUUCAGGAGGGCACAGCCUUCGUAAUCUAAUCAUCUCCUCAAGGCCUCACCUCUUAAUGCCAUCCCAGGGAGUCUAAAGUUCCAGCAUAGGAAUUUUGGAGGGUCGUCACCAUUCAGACCACAGCAUCACCCCUGUCUUGAUUAUCCUGAGGGUGGCAUCAGAGUUUUCCCAGGCAUCGGUGCUUCCAGUAAUGUCACUUUUCUGUUCCAGGACCCCUGCUGGGCUCCCACAUUUAGUUGUCUUCUUAGUUGUCCCCAGUCUUUUUCUUCUUUUUUUGUCUUUUUUUUUUGAGACAGUCUCACUUUGUCGCUGUCCCUAGUCGUCGUCUUCUUUCCAGUCUUCUUCUUCUUUCCAGUCUUCUUCUUCUUCUUCUUUCUUUUUUCUUCUUUCUUCUUUUUGAGACACACUGUGUCACCCAGGCUGAAGUGCAAUAGCGCAAUCUGGGCUCACUGCAACCUCCACCUCCCGGGUUCAAGUGAUUCUCCUGCCUCAGCCUGCCGAGUAGCUGGGAUUACAGGCACCUACCACCACACCCGGCUAAUUUUUGUAUUUUUAGUAGAGACGGGGUUUCACCACAUUGGCCAGGUUGGUCUCGAACUCCUGACGUCAGGUGAUCUGCCCGCCUUAGCCUCCCAAAGUGUUGGGAUUACAGGCGUGAGCCACCACAUCCCACCCCUAGUCUCUUCUUGGGUCUGUGAAGUUUCUGUCAUAACCUGUUGCCCGUGACGGGACAGUCUUGAUUCCAGCCAGUGUGCCGCGCUGCCUCGUCUCAGCCUAUCUGUUGUUUUUCUCGAGAUCAGUCUGGAGUUACAGGAUUCACAACUGCUUCAGAUUUAUCUUUCCUUCUGCUUUAACCUUAGGGGAUUCUUUAGUCGUAGGGGAUGCUAUAAGAAAAAUAAGUUCAGUGAAUAAGAAUAGAGGCUUCAAAGAUGAAAACUUUCUUGGAAAUAAAGAAAAAAAA
Molecule: long non-coding RNA, 6595 nt
Organism: Macaca fascicularis (crab-eating macaque)
Lineage: Eukaryota; Metazoa; Chordata; Mammalia; Primates; Cercopithecidae
Source: Ensembl